CCUACGGGUGGCAGCAGUGGGGAAUAUUGGGCAAUGGGCGCAAGCCUGACCCAGCAACGCCGCGUGAAGGAAGAAGGCUUUCGGGUUGUAAACUUCUUUUAAGAGGGAAGAGCAGAAGACGGUACCUCUUGAAUAAGCCACGGCUAACUACGUGCCAGCAGCCGCGGUAAUACGUAGGUGGCAAGCGUUGUCCGGAUUUACUGGGUGUAAAGGGCGUGCAGCCGGGAAGACAAGUCAGAUGUGAAAUCCCGGGGCUCAACCGCGGAACUGCAUUUGAAACUGUUUUUCUUGAGUACCGGAGAGGUCAUCGGAAUUCCUUGUGUAGCGGGGAAAUGCGUAGAGAUAAGGAAGAACACCAGUGGCGAAGGCGGAUGACUGGACGGCAACUGACGGUGAGGCGCGAAAGCGUGGGGAGCAAACAGGAUUAGAUACCCCAGUAGUC
This 442-nucleotide ribosomal RNA is filed under the name uncultured bacterium. RNAcentral's name for it is "partial 16S ribosomal RNA". It matches the Rfam family "Bacterial small subunit ribosomal RNA", at positions 338 to 795 of the family's 1533-position model. The record is from RNAcentral.